GCUCACCUGCUCAUAUAAAAAGGAGGGCGUUCGUUCGAAAAGGGCCCGAAAGAAAAACUCUGCAGAAAUCUCAAAAAAGGAAUCUUACCAUCAUGCCGUGAAUUACGUCUUUCAUCCCUAACAGAGAGGGCAUCAUUGUUGAAAAAGAGAAGUCUCGGCAACGGAACUCUGUGCAAGGCGUGUUAGCCCAGUAGCACACCUUCAUCAAGUGGAACUAGCGAGUAAGCAGAAGAACGAAAAGAGGAAGGAGAGGACUCAGAGAAAGUAGAAAAGUUUCAAACAGUAAAGAGGGAAGAAAGGUACUUACCCAAGAUCCGAUUCCACUUCCCAAGCUCGCCGGAAACGUUGUUUUCCAGUAAGGAAGGGCAUGAUCUCCAUUGAUCUAUCAAGUUCACAUCUAGGGUUUGAGACCCGCAUGAACAAAGAGCACAACCAAUAAUUGAUCCAAGAAUGGUGAUGAGCAUCAUAUAUGAGUCCCAAUGUUCUCUACAUGUUAUAUUGAUCAAGCUUUCUUCAAGAGUUUGAGGGUGAUUUGCCUUGGAAACCCUAGUUUGACUGGGUAUCUUGAGUAAAUUCUCCAACAAGCUAUCUAACCAAUUGGUCAAAUUUCUCAAGGGACACUUCAAAAUUCAUCAUCUUAUGCAUAUAUGAUCUACCAUGAGCCUAUAAAGUCAAGAGAAUUAGAAGUUAGCAAGUUGGUUGAUGGUGGUUGGCCAGAUGAAUUCAUCUGAUCAAAACUGGGUCUGCCUAGACCCUAUCUCCUACAAUUUUCACCAUCUGAAAAUGAUUCCAAAAGAAAACUUACUCUAAAUGACAUUCCAAACACCUUUCAUGUUGAGACCUAGAGUUAGUUUUGCUUGGAGAAUCAUUUUCUAUGUUGAAACAUUAUAGGUCAUUUUGUCUAAACCCUAAUUUGAAAGUCAACUUCCCAAGGCCAUAACUUACUCAAUUUUUAUGAGAUGAAAGAUUUCCAAGUUGCACAAUUAAAUUCAAUGAUUCCACUUCAACUUUGAUGUUUGGAGUGGGAGCUAACUCAACAUUUUUGAGCAUGUGAUAUGAGGUUACAUUAUAGGUCACUUUUGACCUAUACCAUUGAACAAGUGAUUUUUCCAAACUUCAAAAAUGUAUAACUCUAUCAUUUAAAAUCCAAAUGACAUGAAACUGGUGACCAUUUUUAAGUUCUUUGAAAGAUAUAUAACUUUGAUGAAGACAUUUUUCUCAUUUGAAGCUCAUAUAAAAAGUUAAGCAAGGUGGAAUAUUGAGACAUAUGGCUUGACACUAAGAAAAAAUUUGAUAUGUCAAAAAUUUCCAAACUUCUACCUCAAAUUUCUUCAAAUUACAAACUCCAAAUGGAAAAGUGUUGAACAUGGAAGUUAUUCCUCUUGAUCUCACCUUUCCAAAGAGCUCAAAUUCAUUCAUUUUGGACAAGGAAUGCAUAGGCUGCGCAUGACAUGAACAUGGUGUCAUCACUUGGCAAGGAUCAAAUUUCAAAUCUUCAUAAACACUUGCCUUGCAAUCCAAGUUGAAUUCAGAUCAUGUCACACUCAUUUGUGGAUUUAUGGCAAUGAUUUUAUGGGCCUAUGUGCGCCCAUGCACCCAUGCAUCAUCAAUGACCAAAUUUGGAAAGUGAAUUCAAGUGUGCAAAAAGCAAUGGAUUCAGCUAUAAAUAGAGCCUCAUAUGCUCAGCAUUUCACACACAUUCGUGUCAGCUUUGAUCCCCUAACUCUAAUCUGUCAUACCCUAAAUUUUACCCUGAGUUUUUCACUCGCAUCAGCAUAGCAUGAACUUAUCCAUUUUGUCGUGCAUUUCAUUAGUUAAAAAGCAUUUAUAAGAGUUUAGUGGAAAAGUCAUGAAUUCUGGCAUUUUAUCUGGUCUUAAUGACAUUCAUUCAAUCAUCUGUUGAUUGAGAAGUCGAAAGACUUGAUAUCUCUAUCUCAGUGCAUCAUUUAUUCUGUUGCAUCUUGUUUCAGAGAUUCAUAAGGUGAUAAUCAAGAGAGUUGUUAUCAUCUAAAUAUGUAUAGGUUUUGUUUGUGUUUGUGUUUGAGAAUGAGAAGCAAAUGGUCCAAGGGAGAUUCAUCUGCGUCUAAUUGUCUGUUCGUAUUUAUGGAGUUAGAAAUUCAGUGCAUUUACAAGACGUUUGCAUUUUUAUACUUGUCACAUCAUGUAUUUUGUUUCGCAUAGCGCUUAAAAUAGCAGUCAGAUAAUUUUUUUGGAUUCACAGACAAACCGGUCAAAUCAUUUCUCAACUGUGCAUCAAAUUGGCGGUUGAAAAUUUUCAAAAUUGAGCUUUCGGAUGUCAGUUUUCUUAAUCUCCGGUUCGCGUAGUUUAACAUCGUGCGCUCGUUUUAAUUUUUCAACUACUUUUUCAGUUGCAUUUUGAUCAAGUCUGAGCCUUUUAACCGAUCAUUUUCUUAUUUCAAAAUUUGAUCAAAACCUGUAUGUUUUCGAGAAGUUUAUUUUACACUGAUUAUUUUAAUGCGUUUAGUUUAUUUUUUCUAGCAUUUUUUCACCCGAUUUUUAUUUGAUUAUUUUUAUUUUUUAACCAAAAUAAUCGUUGGAAUUAAAAUAGAAUUUUCCACAUUUUUAUUUCGAUUUUAUUUCUGUGAUUUCAGUUUUAUUUUAAUUUGUUAACAUUUUAGUUUUUUUAAUUAAGAAAACAAAAUCAGAAAAUAUAUUUCUUCCUCCAUUAAUGCACCUCCACGUGUCCCAAAUUUUUUCUGUUAUCCAAAUGAAGUCGCGUCUCCUCUCUUUCACACCACAAGAUCUCUUUCUCUCAUGUAACUUUCCUCUCUCUCUCUUUCACAUUCUUGAAAAUGGAAAUGAUAUAACACUACUCACUCACUUCUAGAGAUAUACUCAGAAAGAAAAAAAGAGGGAGAAGACUUUUUUUCUUCAACCUCAACAUUUACAUAUUUCAUCACAUAACCUUCAACAACUCAAAAACACACACAUCUUCAACAUAACUACUCCCUCCGCCAUUUUUCCGAAUGAUCUGCAACCUUAAGCAUCAUCUCCUACCUCACUUCAAACCCAUCAUUCCAUAGCCACCCAAGGCCUCUAUGUCUCUGCUCCGUUCCGUUACCGACCACCAUCCAGACCGACAACAAUCAGUGACAACAUCGAAACGAAUCACUAUGGGUUUGUACUCUCAUUUCUCAUGAUUGAUUUAUGUUUGGAUUGAUAAAUUAUAUUAUUGUUUUGAGUAAGGAUUUGAUGUUUUAACUUGAGAGAUUAAAUAAAGGUUAUGAGAUUUGUUUUAUUUUUCUUGAAAUCUUUUAAUAUGAAGCUUUUAUGUUGUAGAAGGAAACCUUUAUGUUGUUGUAGUUUCAUUUAUCCUAUUUUUUUUUUCUUUUAAGUUCUUAAAAAGUGGCCAAGUGUAGUUAGUUUUGAAUCAUUCAAGCUUCUUUCAUUUUAAGAUGAGAAACAAGUAGGUGGAUUGGCAGUGGAGUGUCUCCUUUUUCAUUUGUUAGUUAGAUUUGUUUAUUUGUUCUAUUAUUUUGAGGGAAGUUAUCCUAGUUUUGAUUAAUUUUAUAGUUGAUAUACUUUGUGUGAUAUUUUGGUUGUAUUAACGGUUAUCCUGCUAAAAUUCUUUUGCUUAUAUUUCAUCUUGUCUGUCAAAAAAUUGCACUCAUGAGAGAAAGUGAAAAUACUAUUUCACAUUGGUUAGAUUGCUGAAAGUGCAACUUGGAAUUUUAUUGAAUAUGUUGAAGUGUAUCUUUUUAA
Long non-coding RNA from Lathyrus oleraceus (garden pea), 3723 nucleotides. RefSeq lists it as uncharacterized. The record is from RefSeq and is a predicted model, not a curated record. The transcript has 2 exons. Lineage: Eukaryota; Viridiplantae; Streptophyta; Magnoliopsida; Fabales; Fabaceae.